This 253-nucleotide ribosomal RNA is filed under the name uncultured bacterium. Its description in RNAcentral is "partial 16S ribosomal RNA". It matches the Rfam family "Bacterial small subunit ribosomal RNA", at positions 524 to 776 of the family's 1533-position model. The record is from RNAcentral.
UACGGAGGGUGCAAGCGUUAUCCGGAUUCACUGGGUUUAAAGGGUGCGUAGGUGGGCAGGUAAGUCCGUGGUGAAAUCUCUGAGCUUAACUCAGAAACUGCCGUGGAUACUAUUUGUCUUGAAUGUUGUGGAGGUGAGCGGAAUAUGUCAUGUAGCGGUGAAAUGCUUAGAUAUGACAUAGAACACCAAUUGCGAAGGCAGCUCACUACACAAUUAUUGACGCUGAGGCACGAAAGCGUGGGGAGCGAACAGG